RNAcentral lists this ribosomal RNA (238 nucleotides) under uncultured bacterium. Its description in RNAcentral is "partial 16S ribosomal RNA". It matches the Rfam family "Bacterial small subunit ribosomal RNA", at positions 796 to 1041 of the family's 1533-position model. The record is from RNAcentral.
CACGCCGUAAACGAUGGAUACUAGCUGUUCGGCGCAAGUUGAGUGGCUAAGCGAAAGUGAUAAGUAUCCCACCUGGGGAGUACGCACGCAAGUGUGAAACUCAAAGGAAUUGACGGGGGCCCGCACAAGCGGUGGAGCAUGUGGUUUAAUUCGAUGAUACGCGAGGAACCUUACCAGGGCUUAAAUGUAGAUUGACAGGACUGGAAACAGUUUUUUCUUCGGACAAUUUACAAGGUGC